This 253-nucleotide ribosomal RNA is filed under the name uncultured bacterium. RNAcentral's name for it is "partial 16S ribosomal RNA". It matches the Rfam family "Bacterial small subunit ribosomal RNA", at positions 524 to 776 of the family's 1533-position model. The record is from RNAcentral.
UACGUAGGGGGCAAGCGUUGUCCGGAAUCAUUGGGCGUAAAGAGCGUGUAGGCGGCCAGAAAAGUCCGCUGUGAAAACUCGAGGCUCAACUUCGAGCUGUCGGUGGAAACUUUCUGGCUAGAGUCCGGAAGAGGAGAAUGGAAUUCCUGGUGUAGCGGUGAAAUGCGCAGAUAUCAGGAAGAACACCCGUGGCGAAGGCAGCUCGCUGGGACGGUACUGACGCUGAGACGCGAAAGCGUGGGGAGCAAACAGG